UACGUAGGGUGCGAGCGUUGUCCGGAAUUAUUGGGCGUAAAGAGCUCGUAGGCGGUGUGUCACGUCGGCCGUGAAAACCUGCAGCUUAACUGUGGGCGUGCGGUCGAUACGGGCAUCACUGGAGUUCGGCAGGGGAGACUGGAAUUCCUGGUGUAGCGGUGAAAUGCGCAGAUAUCAGGAGGAACACCGGUGGCGAAGGCGGGUCUCUGGGCCGAUACUGACG
This 223-nucleotide ribosomal RNA is filed under the name uncultured bacterium. RNAcentral describes it as "partial 16S ribosomal RNA". It matches the Rfam family "Bacterial small subunit ribosomal RNA", at positions 524 to 745 of the family's 1533-position model. The record is from RNAcentral.